RNAcentral lists this unclassified non-coding RNA (150 nucleotides) under uncultured Pleosporales. Its description in RNAcentral is "sequence contains ITS2". Lineage: Eukaryota; Fungi; Ascomycota; Dothideomycetes; Pleosporales. The record is from RNAcentral.
GUACCCUCAAGCUCUGCUUGGUGUUGGGUGUUUGUUCCGCCGCGCGCGAGAACUCGCCUCAAAUGCAUUGGCAGCCGGCAAUUUGGAGUUGGAGCGCAGCACAAUUUGCGCUCUUCGCCAUGUUGCGGCGUCCACAAGCCCAUUUUAUGC